UAAGGGAUAGUAUAAUAAUAUUAUAUAAAGCUGUUAACUUUAUGAUGUGCUUAAGCACUCUCUUAG
RNAcentral lists this transfer RNA (66 nucleotides) under Cryptocelis alba. RNAcentral's name for it is "tRNA-Asn". Lineage: Eukaryota; Metazoa; Platyhelminthes; Polycladida; Cryptocelidae. The record is from RNAcentral.